CUCAGUUCCGUGGGUUACUCCUGCCAACUCGACGCCGGCCGCCAUGACACUCGCUCGGAAAGCGGCAGCGGAUCAUAGAAAAGCGCCGCGGUGGCGUAGACAGGCCCCGCGAAGCCGCCGGACGUGUCCUUGGCGCAAGGGAGGCUGGGAUCGCGGAGGACCGAGCGCGGGCUGGAUUAACCGCAGCCAGUGCCUAGCGCAAGGUUAGGUGCAUGCAGGCGGCCAGCUUCGGCCGGGGAAGGAAUGGCCUGGAUAACUGGGGCAUCGCGGCGCUCCUCGGCCUCCUGCAGCUGCGUUUCAAAGCAGAGCCGACCCUUGAUCACCAUCUUUGACAAGCUAUACCUACUAAAAGAUGUGAAGCAGACACCUACAUUCCAUGACUCAACUGUAAAGAGAACACAAAGCUC
This 407-nucleotide long non-coding RNA is filed under the name Homo sapiens (human). Its description in RNAcentral is "HSALNT0214793". Lineage: Eukaryota; Metazoa; Chordata; Mammalia; Primates; Hominidae. The record is from RNAcentral.